RNAcentral lists this long non-coding RNA (20389 nucleotides) under Panax ginseng (ginseng). Its description in RNAcentral is "long non-coding RNA (PGIN_LNC007983)". Lineage: Eukaryota; Viridiplantae; Streptophyta; Magnoliopsida; Apiales; Araliaceae. The record is from RNAcentral.
AAUAAUAUAAGUCGGGGAAAAUAAAACAAGCAGCUGAGUCAGUAAGAGAAAACAUGAGCUGUGUUAAACAGGAACUUUAUUAAGUAGGAGUUGGCAUGAAGAAGGAAGUAUAGGCUUAAAAUUCAGAAAUCCUUAAACGUAAUGGCCAAGCAAAAUUUUUGGGGAACAAGGAAAGGGUUGCUAUAAAUUCAAAACCAAACUAAAAUUUUCUACUCUUUCCUGGCCAAGCUCCACCCGCCACUUUCCCUCUCAAUCCUCAAUCCAUCCGUGCGUAAUUCUAUCCCACUCUGUUCGGCUAAAACGAAAAUAGAAGCUUCAAGAAUUGAUUGGGCAUCUGGAAUAAAGCAUAAAAGAUAGUGAAACCAUAACCAAGCAAGAAAGAUAUAUAUUAGUUUGUAUUAUGCUUUUUUAUGAAAUUCAUGAUAAAUUGAAUCAGUUAGUUAGUAUAUGUAGAUACUUAGUUAAAUAGUUAAUUUGUAUGUGAAUGGGCUACGAAAUCAAUUGGUAACUAAGCUCAAUGAAAUUUAAAAUAUAAGGUAUGUUUUAGAAACUAAAGGAAUGAAAUUUGUUCAAAGUUUCAAAGUUAGUAAACUAAUUUAUGAAAUAGAUAGUAUGUAUAGUUUUCUUUGUGUAAACCAUGGAGUUUAGUAAUUGUUGUGCGGAGUUAUAAUGAUGGCGAAAUGGGAAUGAAACAAAAACAAAACCACAUAAUCUCAGCCCAUUAUAGAGUCGCACACGACAUGUUCGAUUAAAGUCCUAAAAAGGCCAUUUUGCCUAAAAACUCCUAAUUAGGCAGAUCUAAGACUCAAGAUAUAUGCAUAUAUGUUAUAUAUAAAUAAUUAAAGAGUUUGGGUAAAUCGAAUUAGAACGAAAAGCAAUUUUAAGCCAAAACGAAAAUUUUAAAAGUUAGUGUGUCGGACUACUUUUGGCUAAUUGUUUUGGAUAGUUAGAUUUGCUGGACAAUUUUAAGUUUCUGGGGUCUAGUAGUGUGCAAUCCCAGCUAGCCAUAGCCUUUGGAGCUGACUAAUUCUGAGUUUGGACGACUGAGUUAAGACGUGCCAAAGUGGGUGCGUCGAAACUGCCCAAAUCUGGAAAACAGAUUCGAAGCAGCCCCUUACACGAAUUUUCUGGAAUUAUGGGUGCAGAAUUUGGAAAAGGUUAUUGAAUAGGAGUUGUAGUCCCAGAAGUUAGCUUCGCGUGGGCUCAAGAAUCGCUCAAGAAUGUUUUGAAACGAAAAAGUUAUGUCUGUUUGAGCAAGAGAGGGUACAAUUGGAAAAAAAAAUUGAAAAUUGUUUUGACAAGGCAGUUUUAGCCCUCUGUUUAACCUAUCUAGGAUGCCCAAAUUAGAAGAGUUAUAUUUUUCUAAAAUACUAUGAAAUACAAUCUUAAUGCUGCCCAAGUUUGAAGGUUAAUGAAAAUGUAGAUUUAAAGUUCUAAAAUUACAAAGUAACCAUUAUGAUAAGGCGGAGCUGGGGGCAGGGCAGCAGCUGCACCAGGUAGUUGGCCCAGCAGCGUGCAACGCAUGGGCAGACGCCUGGCAACCAGCUGUCGGACAGCGUUUCGCCUUGCGUUUUGAUUUCGAUUGUGGGUGUUGAGCAUUAAAAGAGUUAAGAUAUAUAAUAAUAUAUAAUUAAUUUAUAAUUGGACCAUUAAUUGAACCCAAUAUGGUUGAUAAAUUAGAAUUCAGUUGUUAAUCUUAAUAUGUUCAAGUUAAGUUGAAAUUAUGGAACGUGUUUCAUGUUAAGCAAUAAGCUUUAAUACAUAAAAUAAUAUGCACGACAUUAAUAAUGCAAAAUAGCAACGACAUAAUAAAAUCAAUUCAGAAACGGAUUAAGGAUUAGUUAACUAAUCUAAAACAUGGUAAAAUCUUAAGAACUUAAGAUUAUAAAAGUAUAAAGUUGAAAAGUGUGGGGUUCGAUUAUAAUUAGUUGUACAAACUAAAAGAUUUAUAAGUUAAUAUAGUUAGUCUCAAAUGAAUUGAGGAGGCAUGUUGUAACUUAUGUGUUAUAUUUUGAUUAUACAAGGAAAAGCUAGCCUUGUUUAAUCCAAGGUGUAUUUAUUUCUGCCUAUCUUUGUAUUCAACGAGGUACCAAUAAAAAAAAUCACAUUUAAGCAUGGAUGAGGUAUUUAAAAAAUAAGUGGGUUGGUUUAUUAACCUAGUAAAAGCUAAUAAGAUUUAUACCACAUACAUAUGUAGCAAACUUAUUAAAAUAAGAGAAUUUAAGAAUGAGAUAUUAGACUUGCAAAACACAAAUUUAAAUAGAAUUUGUAGAAUAUGGUAAUGUUAUACAUUGUAAUAACAUUAUGUGUAUAUUGGUGCUAUACAGGAGCAUAAUACCUCGAAUACGUGUAAUCGCGUAAAAUUAAUAGCUUCGCAUCAAAGAGGCAAGUUUUCCAGUUCCUAUUUGUUAUAUGAAUUUGACAUGAUUACAUGGAUUACAUGUUAUACUUGUGGAAUGAUGAAAGUCAACUAUUGACUAAAUUUGAUUGCGUUUUUAAAACUCAGUCUUGAUUUGAUAUUUGAUAUGUGUGAGAUACAAAUGUUACUUAAAUUGUACUCCCUCCAUCCCAAAUUAAUUGCUCAUUUUUGACUUUUUUAAGUCAAAUUGAUUAUUUUUAGAUUUAAUAAUUAAGCAUAUAUAAAUAUAUUUCUAAAAUUAUAAAAAUUGGGGUUAGUAAUAAAUUGUAUAUACUUUCUUUUGGUUAUAAUUUCUUAACCUAUAUUUUAGAAAAAAAUAGUAAAAAGAUUAGUUUUAAAAAUGGUCAAUUUGACUUUAAAAAGUCAAAACUGAGCAAUUAAUUUGGGACGGAGGGAGUAAUAAUCUUGAGAUAUGAUAUAAACAUGAUAUUAUGUGCUAUGUGAAGCAUGAAAACUGUUAGACUUGCUGGGCCGUAGUGCUCAAUCUUGCAAACCAUUUUGCAGAUAAAUGUUGAUUUAUCAGAUGGUCAUAACAACGAAGAUUUGUGAUGAGACAUGAGUAUUAAAGAUGUAUUGCUUGUAAAACCCUGACUUUUAUAAAAUAAAAGUCUAAUUUAAUUUUAUGAUUAUUAUUUUUAAAAUUUAAAAAUGUUGAAUUGAUAAAUGGUCAAAUGAACAAUUAAUUGGCUAAAAGAGCAAAUAAAGGAGGGAGAUUAAAGUUUGCUGAUACAAAUUUUCCUUAUGCUGCUAAAAUUUUCAUAAAGCAUUCACCAAACUUUUUCAUGAUUGGUGGGUUAUCAAAUAUUAGGCAAGAGUGGGGCAAGGAUGAUGGCUAACUUAUUAGCCUACUAAGGCAAAUUUUCAACACACUUGCACUUCUGCCGUAGACAAAAUGUGUAGGAAAGAAGAAAAGAGAAAAGGAGAGGAAGAAAAAGAGGGAGAGAGAAAAGAAAGAAAGAAAGAAAACAAAAUAAAAGGAAGAAAAAGAGAGAGGGAGUACUCCACCCAUUUAUUCCAUUCACUCAUUCUCUCGGUGGAGGAAACCAGAAGAAAGAAGAGUAGAGAAAAAGAAAAAGAGGAGGAGAAGAAAAGAAGAAAGAGAAGGAAUAAAUGAAGAAGAAAUUAAAAGAAAAAUGAAUGUUUAAACCUUUGAUUUAUUUUUCUAUUUAAGUUUUCAUGAAUUUUAUAUGAAGAGAUUGUGUUCAUACUUGAUUUAGAUGAUUUAAACUUGUAUAAACAAGGAUCAAAUGAGAAAAAUCUAGAAAUCAAAUGAAAAACAAAAUUUUAAAAUUUUCAUAAAAAUUAGUUUACUACUUGAUUUUGUAAAAUCCAUAACUCUUUGUGUAUAAUGAGUUAAGAGAUGAGCCAUAUAUCAAAAGAAAGGUCUGGAAGUAAGCUAAGAGUAGAAAUUUAAAUCACCCAAAAAUUCUUUAUAGAUUUUUCGUGGUGACAGUUUGAGUGAAAUUGGUCCGAAGGACUUAUAGUCCGAAAAAUCAGUUUUAUUAAGCUAUAUUGCGUGAGUUAUAAUUUUUAAUCCGACCGUUGGAUCGUUGUGAUUUUCGAAUAUAUUAUGCAUAUAUGAGUUGAGUAUAUGUCCAAAAGUUUUGAACUGUUAAAGAUUAAAAUAUAAUCUGUUGUGAAUUUCUUAAGGUGGCUGGUUCGAAAAUUAUUAAAUAGAAUAUUUCGGUAAGCCUUUCUCUCUAUGUUACAGUCAAUUUAGGAAAACUUUCUUCUACAAAGUUAUAGAUAAUUAAAUUUUACAUGGAAGGACAUAAGAUCUGUAUUUUUCUGAUAAAAGUGCUAAUUAUUGUGAAUUAUUAAAAUUUCUGAAUAUUGGAAUUUAUAAUUAAUUUAUCAGAAAAAUUAUUUGGGUUGAAAUAUUUUUACAGAAUGCUUAUAAAAUCAUCUUAGAAUUUCUGUGAAAUUUUGAUGAAUUAUUGAAAAGCAGAAGUAAUUAUUGUAUUUUUAAACUAUUUAUAGUUAAUUUGAAAAUAGAAGAAAUUCAUAGAAAAUUCUAUGAAUGAUGAAAAAUUAUGAAACUUGGUGAAAAAUGGUAUAAUAUUGAUUUAUAAUUUCUGGACAAUUUUGGAAAUUUUUGAAUAACAGAAGUAUUUAUUAUAUUUUUAAAACUAUUUAUGGUUAGUUUAAAAAUAGAGGAAAUUCAUAGGAAAUUCUAUGAAUGGUGAAAAAUUAUGAAUUUUGCUGAAAAAUAUUAUAAUAAUAUAAGAUUAAUAUUGAUGAUGUUUUAAUGAUAUAAAAGUAUGUGGGGUUAGUAUUUCUAUUUUGAAGCUAUUAAAUGAUAGUUUUUAUAAAUAGAAAUAAUUUUUGAAAAUUGUUAGAUAAUCUAAAAAAUAUGAAAAUUAUUUGGAAAAUUCAUAAUCAUAUUUUUAAAUAUUUUAAAAGUGUUAGUAAGCUCAUGAGGUGUCGGGAUGUAAACGCACUAGUAACGAAUGAGUUAAGAUAAAAACAAAAAUAAUAUUUUUGUUAAAGUAAAAAUGGUGAUAAUAUCAGAAUAAUGGAUUGUUAUAUAUGAGGUUUUAUAUUUCUCAAGUUUUAUUAUUCACUUAUAAAGUUUUGAAAUAUGAAUAAUGAUUUUAUGCGAUAAAUAAAGACAAUUUGAAUGAAUAAUGAAUUGAUAGUUGGUUUAUAUGUUAUUCGAGAUAAAUAUGAUUUGAUGUUGAUCCCUAUUUAUAAUAGAAUUUAAAUUGUUUAUAGCAAGGUAUUGAUUUAAUUCUUACGUAAGAAGUCACUCAGUCUUUCAUUCAUUAAUUGCCACAAUAGUUAUUGCGCAGUGACUCAUAUUAUUUGAUAUGAUAUAAUUAAACCAGUUGACAGUAUUGUGAGUCUUUGUUAAUAAUUGUGAAUAAUUGUUGAAAGAUUGAAAAUGUGUAAAUAAUUGCUGAAUAAAGGGUGUUGAUUAAAGAUAAAUAUGAUAUAGAGAUGUUUGUUCAAUUAUUUUCUUUUUAUAAAAGUAGGUUUGGCAUGACUUUUCGACAGUCUACUUUUUCUAAAGUAGUAUGGACCAUAACUCAAUUAUUUUUAAAAUGUGUACAAGUUGGUUUAAUUUUCUCUGUGGGACCAUAAAUUCCACCACUACCAUUAUUAUAUACCUCGUUUGGUUAUUUUGUCAAAACGGGUGUGCUAGUUGUUUACUAAAUUUUCAGUAAAAAUAGGUUGUUCGGUUGAGUAACUAAACACACACCAUCACUACACUAAAAAUAUAAAAAACUUUUACUACAAUAUUGUGAGUAUAAUAUUGUGAGUAUUUCUAUUGAGUGUAAUGUUACUCCAAGUGUAGAUAAGGAAUGCAAGCAUUGUUUAAGUUGAUCAAUUUCACAGAAAGCAAAAUCAAGUCACAUGCUAAGAUAAGGGAUAUCAUUAUUGUGGUAAGGAGGUAUCAUUUUUAUGGUAAAAAGGAAUAUCAUUUUCUUUCAUACUCCAUAUUAUGGUAAGAUAUUGUUAUUCGUUUAUUCAGUUUAUCAUUAAAUGAUGAAAAGUCCUGAAAGGAUUAGAAUAUCCUAAAUAGUUUGUGCUUCAUCUAUUAUUGUGUUAUUAAUUUGGACUCUGGAUAAUUAAUUUGAAAAUCACUAAGAUAUAUGUUAUCUUAUUAUUCUGAUGAUUUAUGUUUAUUCAUUAUAUAUAUCAUUGUCAUCAUUCUCAUACUUAUAUUGUGUUGAAAGUCAUCUAUAGCCCGUAGUGCAUAGAUAGACUUGGUAUGAUUAUGACGAGGGAUUAUUCGGUAUAAUCAUGAUCGUAAUGUUAUAAAUGAUGUGGUAAAAGUCAUCUUUGGCCCGUAGUUCAUAGAUGAGUUGGUAUGAUUAUGACCAGGGAUUAUUUGGUAUAACCAUGACCGUAAUUGAAAACACAAAUAUUCUUGGCCCGUAGUGCAUGGAUAAUUCGUGGUCGUGAUACUUGAGCCGAGUCUCAGCAUUAUUAGUUUUACAGUUGUAUAUCUUUGGUCUGUAGUGCAAAGAUGGACUGUUGGUUAUUUGUUUUACAAUUGUAUAUCUUUGGCCUGUAGUGCAAAGUUGGACUGUUGAUUUACUUGAUUAUAAAUAUGAAUUGUGAUUUAAUUAUAAUCUGUGGUGGUUCAGGUGAAAACAGGUGAUGAGAGUUCUCUUUGUCUUGGGUAUAACAAAGAAUUGUUGAUGAGUAUUACAGGAAUGAAAUAUUAACGAUGGACUUUUAAUCUAGAGGAGAUAGUAGACAUUAUGUUCUACUUGACUCUUCUAAUGGAUUGUUGAUUCCGCUGCUAUUAUGGUUGAAAACUUUUAUCUUCUACCAUAUGUUCUAAAUAUCUGAAUUUGAUAAUUUAAUUAUCUUAAGUCAUGAUAUUCUUUACUGGGCUAUUUGUGCUCACCCUUUUACUUCACCACCCCUUUCAGGAAAUAAAAGUGUAGCUGGGACUAGCAGAGAGGACGUGGGUAUAAAGUGGUGUUUUAAAUUAGUCGAAAUUCUAAUCAAAUUAUGAAACGGUGGGACAUAAUAAUUGUACUGAGAAUUUAAAAUAUGCGUGACAUAUUUUAUACAUCAUUUAAUAGUUAUAUUUGGUGAAUUAAAUAAGGUGAUGCGAACUCGAUUUUGGAAGCGACAAAAAUGCACUCCAUUAGAAUGAGAAGGACAGAAAUCUUCUCGUAUUCCUUUGGAGACUUGAAAUAUUUGCUGCUGUACUUUAUAUAGCAUUGUAAUAAUUUGAGUAUGAAUAUUGUCAUAUUAUAUACGCUACAAUAUUUGUAUUGAAACUCACAAUAUAUGUGUCAUCGUAUUUUGCACGAUAGUUAUAAAUGGAGUUUUUUUAGUGUAUGUAAUUGGCGACUCGGGAUGGGUGAUGUAUACCUGUUUUGGGGGCGUCACAUUGCUUCAUCAAGUUUAGACUGUACCAAGCUGAGGCUACUUGCUGUAAAGUGAUUUAAUUGAGUAGUGUAAAUGUUGUUAUACCCAGUAAUUAUACUGAAUAGAAAUAAUCUUUUUGAAUAUGAGAUGUAGCUUUACUAUUAUUUUGUAAAGUAAGUUACUAUAAUAGCAUAGAAGUGCAUGAAGUGGGGUAUAGCGAAUAUACAAUUGACGAAUUAUGUUUUAAAGAUUCCGGGAUGAGUAAAGUUAAAAGUUUGAACCUUAUGUUCAAAUUAGACUUUUCAGAAUGGGUCUUUAUAUUUAUAUAAUCCUGAAUAUGAGUAUAGAUUAUAACAUCUGCGAAUUCUGGAACUAAUAAAAUUUUAAUAACUAAAUUUUGAUAUCUAUAUUGAUAUUGAUUGUGAUAUACAAGUUGAAUCAUGAUAUAGAUUCAAGAUAUGAUAGAGUUGCAAAAAUAUAAUUUUUGCAUGUUUGAAAUGUGAUAUGAUCUCUAGCUGACCAGAUGAUAACGAUUGGAAGACGUGCAAAGGAUAUCUCUUCUUUAUUUAGAAAUUGUAGAGAAAUAUAGAUGAGGAUUCUCAUGAUUCUAGAUAUGACUAAAAGACAACUAUGUACAGUUUGAAAUGUUUAUUGAAUAAGGAAUAUUUGUUUGAAGAGAGGUGAGUUGUAUAUAUUCAUAUGUUACUUUGAUAAAAUAAAUCAUAAAAUAAAUAUGAUUCUAGUAUAAAGAAGAAUUGUAAAGGUUUCGAUUCAGGGAAUGAAUGAAUGAAAAGAAAAAAAAAAUUUAUUCCAUAUUUUUAGCUAUUUUAACAUUAAAUAAUAUUUUAAAGCUAGAACAAGAUAAUAUUAACACACAAGAUCGGGAAGAAAAAUAGUCCCGAUUUUGGGGGCGUUACAAAUGUGCUUGCUUCUUUCAUGGAACACCGGGUUUUUCGCCAAAGCAAUGGCUGCCUUUGUAAGACCCCAGCUUUUUAUAAAUAAUAUUGAAUUUUUCUCCAAUUAUUAUUUUGAAAUAAUAAGGUGUUAAUUUGAUAUAAUACUUUGGUUAUGGGUGAAAUGUGCAAAUUUUAUAAAAUAAGCAAAUGGUUAUAAAAUAUUCCUUUUGUCGGGGAAUAUUCGUUUCGUCGUGGAAUAUUCUUUUUGUCGGGAAUCUUCAUACGACAGCGCAGUUAUUUGUGGGCCCCAUAACGGAAAACGGUUGGAUGAAGGAAAACGACAAAGUAUGAGUUUUUUUAUAAUUAACGGCGUAAUGGUUACCGUUAACACUGUUGGAUUACCUGGUGGUUAAAAUAUAAUAAUACGCGUGGUUGCACAGUAGCACACAGUAUUGCAUAGUAUUGUUGAAUUAUUGAUUCUUACGUAAGAAGGCACUACUCAAUAAUUGUUACAGUAGUUACUGUUCAAUAUUUUAUUUUAUUGAUUCAAUAAUUGCUGCGUUGAUAGUUUAUAUUAUUGUUGUUUCAAUAAUUGUCAUUGCACAGUAUUUCCCAUUAUCAGAUCAAUAAUUCAUAUUAUUUGAAUAAUAUUAUUAGAUAGUAUUAUUGACAAUGUCUAGAAAGUUCUGUCAAGGAGAGGUUUGGUCAUCUAAUUGCGCACCAGUAAGGAGAAAUCCUUAUCGGAAAUCCCCCUCUUUCCUAGGAACGGCCUGGUUGUCAUAAUUGUGAUUCUGUAAUAUUAUUUGGGAAUAAUUAAUUAAUGAUUUAUAUGAUAAGAAAAUAUUUAUUUGAUGUGGAUAUUAAUGAUGGAUUUAUUUAUGUGGUUAUAAAUGAAGGAAUUAAUGUUGAGGUAUUUUAUCAGUAUUUUGUCGGAUUGGAGGUAUUAAAAAUCAUCCGUUUGUGGAUUUCGGAUAUUUUCUGUUUGAAAUUUGGAAAAACUUUCUUCUGUAAAGUUGUAGAGAAUUCGAUUUCGUGUGGAAUGGACAUAAAAUUCGUAUUUUUCUGAUAAACGGGCUAUUUUCUAUGAAUUAUUAAAAUUUCUGAUUAUUGUUUAAAUGAUAAAAUAUUUUAGAAAAUUCUAGAAUUGGUUGGUGAGAAAUGUGCUCAAUUGAAUUUCAAAUGUGGUGGGUGGCAAUAGUAACAGGUAAAACCAUCAGGUAGCAGGUCAAGUCUGCUUCGGCGUGCUAACAUUUUCCUAUAAAUAGAGGGCUAAGUUAGAAUUGAAAAUCACACCAGAAACAUAAGCUUUCUCUCUUUCUUUCUCUAUAUUAUCAAGCGUAUUUCGUGAGUAUUUUGAUACUUUAAGUGUUGAUAUACGGUGCAAGUUCCAUCAACACUAUAUCCAGUAUUCCAGUCAGAAGUACUAUCUUUUUGAGGUAAGGGAUAUUAUUUUCUUCAUAUAUGAUAUUAUUUCUUUUAAUAUCAUUAUGCCGAAGUAUUGAUCUAAACUUUUUAAUCAAAUUUGGAACUUUUUGUGUCGGGGUUACUAUUCACGUAUACGGCACUAUUCACAAAUACGGCACUAUUCAUCGAAAAAUGAAAUUUUCUCUUUUUCGUCUCAGAUGUCUUUUAUGGUUACUAUCUUUGAUUGUAUCAUGUUUUGAUCAUUAUUUUUGAAUUCUACUUCACACUUGGUUAUUAUGGAGUAUUAUUGAAUUUGGAUAAACCGAAAUACGAAUCCCUAAUAUUUGUCCUUCUGUCUCACUAGAUUCGUUCUCUAAAAUAUUUUUCAUCAUCCUCAGUCCUUAAUGGUGAUACUUGAUGAAUAUCUUUGGCCUGUAGUGCAAAGAUGAAUGAUUACCUGAUGAAUAUCUUUGGCCCGUAGUACAAAGAUGAACAGGUGUUGAGAUGAACAUGACCAACUAGUGAUACAAAUGAAUAUCUUUUUCCUGUAGUGCAAAGAUGUAUAUUGAUUGAUGUUACAGGGAUAAAAUAUUGAUGAUGGACUUUUAAAUUCAUAAAUGAUAGUAGAUUUCAUUUUCUACUUAACUCUUCUAAUGAAUUGUUGUUUUCGCUGCAGUUGUUGAUCUAAAACUUGUUGUCUAUUGUAUUCUAUUAGAUUUUUUCCCUGUUGAGGACUAAUGAUAAUUUUUUGUGUAUUAUCUUAGUCAUAAUAUUCUUUACUGGGCUAGUUGAGCUCAUUUCUUUUUUGUUCCAUUUUUCAUCUCAGGAGGUGAAAACAUAGCAGGAUCUAAUCGGGGUACGGAGUGAUGGUUCUAGAAAGUUGUUGUAGCAGUCCUCACUAUUUUUAUAAAAUAGUGUUUGAAUAAUUAUAAUGAGGACUCAUUUGGGUGUGGAUAUUGUCUAGAUGAAAAUAUUUGUAUUUAAACUCACAGUAUGUGUUGUCGUAUUUUGUUCGACAAUUGUAUUAUUGAAGUUGUAGUUUGCUUUAUGUACCAUGUAUUUGGCGACUCAGAAUGGAUAUGGUGUAUACCUAUUUUGGGGGGGGGGGUCAUAGUUGGUAUCAAAGCUUAGGGAUAUGGUCUCUGGCGGAGAUCAGGGAAUAGAACUAGGAGGGGAGAGAUGAGUAAAUCCUUCGCUAGUGUGUCCUAUCUAAGCUUAUUUGUUGGUCGGUCAUAAUAUAGGGAUAUUAUGUGAUAUGUUAAUUUGUUUAAUUAACCCUUGUUUUAUGAUAGUUUUUAAGCAUGGCAGCUGAGAACGUUAACAAUGGAGUGUAUGAGACUAUGGAAACACCUUUAGUCACCAACCAGGAUAAUGUGAUGUCAGGCGAAGAAGGAAUUAGAGAUAUCCAUGUGGUGAGUGAAGAAUUGAUAGUUGCAUCCGAGAUAGUGGCAGAAGUAACAGCUGAGAGUGAGGAAGAAGAGGAACCUGAGGAGAAUUUAUUAGAGGUAUUUUAUGAUCGAAAUUUAGAAUUGCAAAAUCAUAUUCAUGAGUUAGAAAAGCAGGCUGAAGAACGGCAGACGGUCGUGGAGCAAAAGGAUGCAACGAUUCAAGCUUGUGUUAACCGAUAUGUGAUGCUUGAAUAGAAGCACUCUUUGGCAAAGUAUAAGAUGAUAAAGCUAGAAUCUGAGCUGAAAGAAGAACCAAUUGAACGAGUGAGAAUGAGUGAUGCAUGGGUAAAAGUCGACGCUUUGAUAUUGUGGAAAGAGAUGUCUGAUCUAAGAAGAGAAGAUUUAACGAUGACGGGAAGACGUUGGCAGCAGCACCAACACCAGCAACAAAUUCCAAGGGAGGAGAACGCCCGCCAGUUAAGUGCUACAAAUGCGGAGAGGAGGGACACAUAAGUCCAAACUGUUCACAGCCUUCCAAGGUGUGUUUCAAUUGUGGAAAAGACGGUCACAUAGCUCGAUUUUGUCCUGUAGCGAAAUCAAGUCCAACUGGAAUGGUGGCACCAAAGGCGGAUACGGACAAAACAAAGUCGACGGUUUCUGGAAGAGCAUUUUUUGUGACUUCUCAAAAAGCGAGGAACCCGAACGAAGGUAUCACGGGUUAGUUAAUUAUAAAUUCUUGCAAAAUCUAUACCUUACUAGAUACCGGUUCUACCCAUUCUUUUAUCUCUCCUGCUUGCGCUCAACAUUUAAACUUGACUCCGGAGAAUUAGACUUUGAUUUAUCUGUGGAGACUCCGUUAGGAGAAACUUUCGUUACAUCCACUAUUUAUAAAUCUUGCUUAAUCCAAGUUGGCACUAUCACAUUACCUGUUGAUCUUAUCUCUUUAAAGAUACUUGCUUUUGAUGUGAUUUUAGGAAUUGAUUGGUUAACCACUCAUCAUGCNNNNNNNNNNNNNNNNNNNNNNNNNNNNNNNNNNNNNNNNNNNNNNNNNNNNNNNNNNNNNNNNNNNNNNNNNNNNNNNNNNNNNNNNNNNNNNNNNNNNUCAAGCCAUAAAGCCAUUCAUUUAUUGAAAAACGAAUGUCAAGCUUUCUUAGCCCAUUUCAUGGAUUUAAACAAAAAUACGUCAAAUUUGAAUGAUAUUUCUGUUAUUAGUGAAUUUCUGGCGUAUUUCCUGAAGAAUUUCCUGGCAUACCCCCAGAGCGUGAUAUUGAAUUUUGUAUCGACUUUGAACCCGGUACAAAACCCAUUUCUAAAUUCUCAUAUCGAAUGGCUCCUAUUGAACUUCAGGAGUUAAAAACCCAACUAUAGGAGUUGGUACUCAGGCCUCUAUCUAGUAACUUCCUUUGUGGAAUGCACCAAAGCCAGACUCUCCGUAGGGGACGCUAUAUUUGUGUGGUGGUAAAACGAUAGGUGCCAUUGUGACGUGCAAUCCAAGAUUGGGAUAUGAAUCAUAUAUGAGAGCAACUUAAGUCAUUAAUCGAAAUAUCUAGCUUUCUAGACGUAGCUGGUUACUAUUAGAGAUUCGUGGAAGGAUUUUCUCGAAAUGCUACUGCAUUAACUCAGCUGACUCGGAAAGAUACAAAAUUUGUAUGGAGCGAGGAAUGCGAGAAGAUUUUCCAAGAGCUCAAGAAGCGACUCAUUUCGGCACUUGUUUUGACCAUACCAUCUUGGAAAAACGAACGUGGUAGCUGACGCGUUGAGUAGAAGAUCGUACGCAAGUACGAGUGCGAUAUUGUUGAACACAAAGACCUAUUUUGUAUAAUUUAUAAAUGAUAGAGAUAGAGUUAAAGACUCUAGGAACCACGUGAUGAUAUACGAGUACAAUUGACUUUAAUCGAUAACGUUAAAGCCGCUCAAGCUACACACCGGAGUUGAUGAAUAUAAAGAAGAAGGUGCAAGAAGGCGUUAUUCUAGAAGUAAGAGUCGAUGAAGAGAAGAAAGCUCAAACCUUCGAUUUAUUUGAAAUCCUCGAUCAAGUAGGAACUGUGGCCUAUAGACUCGCCUUAACGCUAAGUAUAUCGCGUGUUCAUAAAGUUUUUUUUACAUAUCGAUGUUACGUAAGUAUGUGGACGACCCAAACCACAUUAUUGCGUUAGAACUAGACGAGAUAGCCGAAGAUUUAACGUACAAGGAGGUACCUGUCAAGAUAUUGGAUAGCAAGAGCAUGCCCUACGCACAAAGGUUAUACCACAAGUUAAGGUUUUGUGGAGGAACCAUGCUAUUGAAGAAAUGACCUGGGUGUUGGAAUCAGAAAUAAAAGCGAGGUAUCCUCACCUUUUUGAUACACCAGGUACGUACGUCAAUUUCGAGGAUGAAAUUUCAUAAGGAGGGGAGGUUGUAAGACCCCAGCUUUUUAUAAAUAAUAUUGAAUUUUCCUCCAAUUAUUAUUUUGAAAUAAUAAGGUGUUAAUUUGAUAUAAUACUUUGGUUAUGGGUGAAAUGUGCAAAUUUUACAAAAUAAGCAAGUGGUUAUAAAAUAUUCCUUUUGUCGGGGAAUAUUCGUUUGGUCGUGGAAUAUUCUUUUUGUCGGGAAUCUCCGUACGACGGCGCAGUUAUUUGUGGGCCCUAUAACAAAAAACGGUUAGAUGAUGGAAAACGACAAAGUAUGAGUUUUUUUUAUAAUUAAUGGCGUAAUGGUUACCGUUAACACUGUUGGAUUACCUGGUGGUUAAAAUAUAAUAAUACGCGUGGUUGCACAGUAGCACACAGUAUUGCACAGUAUUGUUGAAUUAUUGAUUCUUACUUAAGAAGACAAUACUCAAUAAUUGUUACAGUAGUUACUGUUCAAUAUUUUAUUUUAUUGAUUCACUAAUUGCUGUGUUGAUAGUUUAUAUUAUUGUUGUUUCAAUAAUUGUCAUUGCACAGUAUUUCCCAUUAUCAGAUCAAUAAUUCAUAUUAUUUGAAUAAUAUUAUUAGAUAGCAUUAUUGGCAAUGUCUAGAAAGUUCUGUCAAGGAAGGUUUGGUCAUCUAAUUACGCGCCAGUAAGGAGAAAUCCUUAUCGGAAAUCCCCCUCUUUCCUGGGAACGGCCUGGUUGUCAUAAUUGUGAUUCUGUAAUAUUAUUUGGAAAUAAUUAAUUAUUGAUUUAUAUGAUAAAAAAAAUAUUUAUUUGAUGUGGAUAUUAAUGAUGGAUUUAUUUAUGUGGUUAUAAAUGAAGGAAUUAAUGUUGAGGUAUUUUAUCAGUAUUUUGUCGGAUUGGAGGUAUUAAAAAUCAUCCGUUUGUGGAUUUCGGAUAUUUUCUGUUUAGAAUUUGAAAAAACUUUCUUCUGCAAAGUUGUAGAGAAUUCGAUUUCGUGUGGAAUGGACAUAAAAUUCGUAUUUUUCUGAUAAACGGGCUAUUUUCUAUGAAUUAUUAAAAUUUCUGAUUAUUAUUUAAAUGAUAAAACANNNNNNNNNNNNNNNNNNNNNNNNNNNNNNNNNNNNNNNNNNNNNNNNNNNNNNNNNNNNNNNNNNNNNNNNNNNNNNNNNNNNNNNNNNNNNNNNNNNNAUUUUGAUUCGGGAUUACUAUUCACGUAUACGACACUAUUCACAAAUACGACACUAUUCAUCAAAAAUUAAAUUUUCUCUUUUUCGUCCCAGAUGUCUUUUAUGGUUACUAUCUUUGAUUGUAUCCAUGUUUUGAUCUUUAUUUUUGAAUUCUACUUCAUACUUGGUUAUUAUGGAGUAUUAUUGAAUUUGGAUAAACCGAAAUACGAAUCCCUAAUAUUUGUCCUUCUGUCUCACUUGAUUCGUUCUCUAAAAUGUUUUUCAUCAUCCUUAGUCCUUAAUGGUGAUACUUGAUGAAUAUCUUUGGCCUGUAGUGCAAAGAUGAAUGAUUACCUGAUGAAUAUCUUUGGUCCGUAGUGCAAAGAUGAACAGGUGUUGAGAUGAACAUGACCAACUAGUGAUACAAAUGAAUAUCUUUUUCCUGUAGUGCAAAGAUGUAUAUUGAUUGAUGUUACAGGGAUAAAAUAUUGAUGAUGGACUUUUAAAUUCAUAAAUGAUAGUAGAUUUCAUUCUCUACUUAACUCUUAUAAUGAAUUAUUGUUUCCGCUGCAGUUGUUGAUCUGAAACUUGUUGUCUAUUGUAUUCUAUUAGAUUUUUUCCAUGUUGAGGACUAAUGAUAAUUUGUUGUAUAUUAUCUUAGUCAUAAUAUUCUUUACUGGGCUAAUUAAGCUCACCCUUUUCCUUUUUGUUCCAUUUUUCUUCUCAAGAGGUGAGAACAUAGCAGGAUCUAGUCGGGGUACGGAGUGAUGGUUCUAGAAAGUUGUUGUAGCAGUCCUCACUAUUUUUAUAAAAUAGUGUUUGAAUAAUUGUAAUGAGGACUCAUUUGGGUGUGGAUAUUGUCUAGAUGACAAUAUUUGUAUUUAAGCUCACAGUACGUGUUGUUGUAUUUUGCACGACAAUUGUAUUAUUGAAGUUGUAGUUUGCUUUUUGUACCAUGUAUUUUGCGACUCAGAAUGGGUGUGGUGUAUACCUAUUUUGGGGGCAUCACAGCCUUGUUAUCCACAAAAAUUUCCAAAGCGUCCUUUUGUAGUAUUUGCAACUCUCCCAAUAAUCUUCUUAACCAAAUUGCAUGACAAACACAAGAUGCUGCAGCUACAUACUCUACUUCGCAUGUAGAAAGUGUCACAAUUGGUUGUUUUUUCGAACUCCACGUAAAAGCUGUAUUCCCCAUGAAAAAAAAAACCAGUAGUGCUCUUUCUGUCAUUCAUAUCUCCGACCCAAUCACUAUCACUAUAUCCCACAAGCUUAAAUUCAUUAGAAAAUGAAUAAAGCAAACCAUAAUCAAUUGUACCUUUGAUGUACGGAAGAAUCCGUUUCGCUGCUUUGAAACGUGUCGCGGUCGGUGUCUCCAUAAACUGACUUACAAGCCCAACUCCAAAAAGUAUAUCUAGUUGUGUGCAAGUCAAGUAUCUUAAACUUCCAACUAAACUUUUGAAAGUUGUGGAGUCUACUUGCUCACCUUCUUCUUUUUUGGAUAAUUUCAGUACAUAUUUAACCGGAGUGCUCGCGGAUUGACAAUCCUCCAUUUUAAACUUCUUUAGAAUCUCCUUAACAAAUCUUUCUUGGGAAAUAAAAUUUUUAUCAUCCGUUUGUUUGAUCUCAAUACCAAGAUAAUAAGACAUGAGACCAAGGUCGGUCAUCUCAAAAUCCUUCGCCAUUGUUUGCUUAAACUCUCCAAACAUACUAGGAUUAUUGCCCGUGAAGAUUAAAUCAUCAACAUAUAAGCAAACAAGUAAAAUAUCUCCAUUUUCACACACCUUAGCAUAGAGAGCAUACUCAUGUGGGCACUUGAUAAAUCCAUUCUCUUAGAAAUAUUUGUCAAUCCGGCUAUUCCAUGCUCGUGGUGCUUGCUUCAAGCCAUAUAAAGCUUUCUUCAACUUUAACACUUUGUCUUCAUGACCUUUGAUCACAUAUCCUAAAGGUUGUUCAAUAUAAACCUCUUCUUCAAGAAUCCCAUUCAAGAAAGCCAACUUCACAUCCAUUUGAUAAAUCUUCCACCUUUUUUGAGCCGCGAAUGAUCAUACGGAUGGUCUCUAACCGUGCAAAGGGUGCAAAUACUUCACCAUAGUCGAUUUCGGGAUGUUGGCUAUACCCCUUGGCUACCAACUUUGCCUUGUAUUUCUCCACUUCUCCUUGAAAACCCACUUCACACCAAUGGGCUUUUCACCUUCCAGCAUAGUUUUCGACUCCCAAGUGUCAUUCUUCUCAAUCGAUUUGAUCUCUUCAUCCAUGGUAAUUCUCCACUUCACAUCCUUUACCGCUUCUUUAAAUACUAUGGGUUCACCAUUGACAAAGUGACAAUAAAGAGUUAGAUCAUCACUUAAAUUUUUUGUGACUUCAUAAAGUUCCUGGAGACUUCUCAUUCGUGGUUGCCUUUUACUUGAACUUUCACUUGAUGAAGAUGAUGCACUUGAAGAAAAUAUAGAAGGUGUACUUGGAUUGGUAGGUGAUCGAGGAGGUGUUGUGGGCUCUUGAUGAACUUCUUCUUUUUUCUCUUCCUCAUCAAGUAAUGGAAAGAAAUCAUACAUUUCCUUGUCUUCAAUGCUCCAAUCCCAUGCAUCUUCUUCAUCAAAUUCCACAUCUCUACUAAUAAUGAUCUUGCCAACACUUGGAUUGUAGAAUUUGUAGCCUUUGGAACAUUGAUCAUACCCAAUGAAGAUGUGUUUCCUACUUUUGUCUUCAAGCUUCGACCUCUCUUGAUCGGGUAUAUGCACAUAACCAAUGCUCCCAAAUACUCUCAAAUGGGAUGCACUUGGCUUUUUUCCACUCCAUGCUUCUUGAGGAUUUUUGUCCAAUAGACUUCUUGUUGGACAAAUAUACCGCACAAUCAACCGCUUCUGUCCAGAAUUCUUUUGGCAUCUUCUUUGUCAUUAACAUGCUUCUAGCCAUAUUGAGAAUGCUUCGAUUCUUUCCUUCCACUAUGCCAUUUUGUUGAGGAGAUUUCGGAACUGUUAAAAAUCGUUUGAUGCCAUUUUCUUCACAAAAUUUAUUGAACUCAUUAUAAGUAAACUCACCACCUCUAUCCAUUCUCAAGGACUUAAUAUAAUAACCACUUUAUUUUUCUACAAGAAUUUUGAAUUUCUUGAACAUGCCAAAUGCUUCAGAUUUUUCUUUCAAGAAACAAACCCAAGUCUUUCUACUAAAAUCAUCAAUGAAGAGUAAAAAAUCGAAUGAAGAUGUCUUGAUUGGUCCACAAACAUCGGCAUGAACAAGUUGAAGUGGCUCAAUUGCUCUUGAAGUAGUUUCUCUUGGAAAACUCUUUCGGAAUUGCUUACCAAUAAGACACCCUUCACAAAGUUGAUUUGGUUGGUCUAUAAAUGGUAAUCCAUUCAACAUCCCUUUUUGAGCCAAUAACUUCAAGCCUCCAAAGUUCACAUGUCCAAGCCUUAAAUGCCAAAGCCAAGAAGUAUCUUUCACACAAGCUUUGAGACAUUUAGCAACAUCACUUUGGAUAUCAAGCAAAAACCUUCUAUUCUUUGUCAUAGGUACCUUAGCAAUCACAUUUUUUCAGUCAUCUUAAAGUAAGAGACUACGAUUCUUCAUAUGAACCUCGUAGUUCUUUUCCAAAAGUUGUCCUAAACUCAAAAUAUUACUCUUCAUAUUUGGAACAUAAUAGACAUUACUUAUAAAUUGAUGACCACCAUUCUUCACACGAAUUAAAAUCGUACCUUUUCCUCUAAUUGGAACUUUAGAGUUGUCUCCAAAAAUGACAAAUCCGGUCACUGACUCAUCAAGCUCCACAAACUUAAACUUAUCUCCACACAUAUGAUUGCUUUCCCCAUUGUCAAGAUACCAUAAAUCAAUUUUUUUUUAAUUUCCCCUUUUUAAGCUAGCAAUAAAGCUACCUCUUCUUCCUCAUUCUCAACAUAGUUCACCUUCUCUUCAAUAUUACUAGGCAUACUCCUACAUUCUCGAGCAUAGCGCCCAUACUCUUAGCAAUUAUAACACCGAACUUUGGACUUAUCUUGCCUUGAAUAAUUUCCUCUUUCACGUCCCCUUGAGGAUUGACUUCUUUCUUCAUUGUUGGAGUUUUGGUUGCCUUGUCCGCCUCUUCCUCGAACUUGUCCACGUCCGUGUCCGCGUCCUCUUCCUCAUUGACUUUUCUCACGAUCAUAAUUCUUCUCUUUCACCGAGAGCUUGGUGGCUAGAACUUGCUCGAUCGACUCAUCCUUCUUCUUGUUAAUUCUUUAUUCAUGGGCUUGUAGAGAACCCAUGAGUUGAUCAACUGUCACAAUCUCUAAAUUUUUGGACUCCUCAAUGGCUACGAUGACAUAAUCAAACUUUUGGAAGCAACGAGCGAAGAAUCUUCUCAAUGACCCAAACUUCCUCCAUUUUUUUCUCUAUAUCGCUUCAUUUGAUUGAUUAUGGCCAACACCCUUGAAAAGAAAUCCGCAACAGAUUCGGAUUCUUGCAUUCGUAAACCUUCAAAUUCUUCUCGUAACAAUUGAAGGCGCACUUUCUUAACUUUAUCAACCCCUUGAUUGAAGUUUUGUAAUAUCUCCCAUGCUUGCUUGGCGGUGGUUGCAUUUGCAACUCUUUCAAACAUGACUUCAUCCAAACAUUGAUGAAUGAGAGUGAGAGCUUGUUGAUCCUUCUUUCGCAUCUUUUACAGAUUCUCCUUUUGAGCGAGAGUCAACGUAGCUUCCUCACUAGGCUCGUCAUAGCUUUUAUCCACGAUCUCCCACACAUCUUGGGAACUAAGCAAAGCCUUCAUACGAAUGCACCAAUUCUCAUAAUUUUCUUUUGUAAGGCGAGGGAAUUGAAAUGGAAAACUAGAAUUAACCAUUUCCAGGAUCACAAAAUAAAUUGCUCUGAUAUCAAUUUGUUGUAAUGAAGAGACUUGAAUUAUAAUUUUAAUUCACUUUUGCUCACUGCUCUCUUAUAAGACAAAUACUUACAUAAGGUAUUUAUAGGAUUAAUGAAUAAUGAUACAUGCAUAUCACCAAUACUUGCAUAUCACCAGUACAUGAACCACAUUAAAACUCCUUUAAUAUCCCAAUACGUGAAUCUAGAAUACUCCAAAACAUUAUAUCCUAAUACAUGAAUCUAGAAUACUCCAAAUUAACAUUGAAUUACAUUUAAUUCUCAACACUUAUAUAUAUUAAAAUAAUUUAACUCAUAAAUUAUUUUAAUAUCCUUUAAUUGUAUACACUAAAUUUGUAUAUCCAACUACUUGCUUACUUUCCAUACUCAAUUUAUUUUUAAACAAUAUAUUCAUACAUAGUAAAUAUAUAAUAUUAUAUUUACUUUAUCACAAACAUUCAUUCACAUUGCACAUAUACACAUGCAAAAUAAAUAAUAUCAAAAUAAAAAUUUAUUUAUUAAUUUUUUAUUUUAAUAUUAAUUAAAAUUUAAUUUAUUACAGUUUCUGCACACAACACAUACAUAAUAUAUAUAUAUAUAUAUAUAUAUAUAUAUAUAUAUAUAUAUAUAUAUAUAUAUAUUAGAGAAAGGAGAGAAAUUAGUACCUGUAAAAAAUAGAUGAAGAUACUUUAGAGGUGGUCGGUCAGAAAAUGCAAAAUGAAGAAAUAAAUGAAGGGGAUUUCUCCUUCUCUCUUUUUUCGACUAAACUCUAAAGCAUUUGGCUCUGCUACCAACAUAGUCGCCACUUCUCUAGUUCUCUUCAUACCCACCGUAAGCAACCAUGAACCAAUUAAUUCAAAAACAAAUUUGUUAAUUAAUUAAUGGCUUAAUUUAACACAAAACACUACAGAUGAUCCGGUAAAGAAAUAUAGUGAUGAAAUUGGGAACGUGGGGGAGCUGGAAGAGAUGGGGGCGGAUGUUCGGACAAAUUGCAGAGCAAGAGUUUAUUUUUUAGUUUGUACAGAGAUAAUUUAAUCUCACAUCACAAGUGGGCCAUAGUCCUUAUUAGGAGUGAGCAAAAAACGGAUAAAACCGAACUACCG